Molecule: non-coding RNA, 144 nt
Organism: Podarcis lilfordi (Lilford's wall lizard)
Lineage: Eukaryota; Metazoa; Chordata; Lepidosauria; Squamata; Lacertidae
Source: the annotation of a GenBank genome assembly
CACCCCCAACCUUCGGCCCUCCAGAUGUUUUGGACUACAAUUUGGACUACAAUUGGGACUACAAUUCCCAUCACCCCUGACCACUGUUAGCUAGGGAUCAUGGGAGUUGUAGGCCAAAACAUCUGGAGGGCCGCAGGUUGGGGA